GCGCCGGUGGUGUAAGGCGUAGCGUCGUUGCGCGGACAGCAGAGGGUGCGGGUUCGAGUCCCGUCUGGCGCA
Non-coding RNA from Heligmosomoides polygyrus, 72 nucleotides. Lineage: Eukaryota; Metazoa; Nematoda; Chromadorea; Rhabditida; Heligmosomidae. The record is from Rfam.